CCUUAGGGGAGUAGUCUUCUCCUCGCGAGAAAAUUCGUCAACAUACUUGAGCCCUCAAUGGCUUAUGGCGAAUUUGUACCGACCCUGCAGUUCCGGUAU
This 99-nucleotide small RNA is filed under the name Teredinibacter turnerae. RNAcentral describes it as "Manganese sequence". It matches the Rfam family "Manganese Mn2+ riboswitch aptamer (yybP-ykoY)". Rfam says of the family: This RNA was originally discovered in E. coli during a large scale screen and was named SraF. The family was later found to exist upstream of related families of protein genes in many bacteria, including the the yybP and ykoK genes in B. subtilis. The record is from RNAcentral. Lineage: Bacteria; Pseudomonadati; Pseudomonadota; Gammaproteobacteria; Cellvibrionales; Cellvibrionaceae.